GAUGAACGCUGGCGGCGUGCCUAAUACAUGCAAGUCGAGCGAACAGAUAAGGAGCUUGCUCCUUUGACGUUAGCGGCGGACGGGUGAGUAACACGUGGGUAACCUACCUAUAAGACUGGGAUAACUUCGGGAAACCGGAGCUAAUACCGGAUAAUAUUUCGAACCGCAUGGUUCGAUAGUGGAAGAUGGUUUUGCUAUCACUUAUAGAUGGUCCCGCGCCGUAUUAGCUAGUUGGUAAGGUAACGGCUUACCAAGGCGACGAUACGUAGCCGACCUGAGAGGGGGGUCGGCCACAUUGGAACUGGGACACGGUCCAGACUCCUCCGGGAGGCAGCAGUAGGGAAUCUUCCGCAAUGGGCGAAAGCCUGACGGAGCAACGCCGCGUGAGUGAUGAAGGUCUUCGGAUCGUAAAACUCUGUUAUUGGGGAAGAACAUACGUGGAAGUAACUGUGCACGUCUUGACGGUACCUAAUCAGAAAGCCACGGCUAACUACGUG
Molecule: ribosomal RNA, 497 nt
Filed under: uncultured bacterium
Lineage: Bacteria
Description: partial 16S ribosomal RNA
Rfam family: Bacterial small subunit ribosomal RNA
Source: RNAcentral